RNAcentral lists this transfer RNA (71 nucleotides) under Zeus faber (John dory). RNAcentral's name for it is "tRNA-Trp". It matches the Rfam family "tRNA". Rfam says of the family: Transfer RNA (tRNA) molecules are approximately 80 nucleotides in length. Their secondary structure includes four short double-helical elements and three loops (D, anti-codon, and T loops). Lineage: Eukaryota; Metazoa; Chordata; Actinopteri; Zeiformes; Zeidae. The record is from RNAcentral.
AAAGAUUUAGGAUAAUAAAAGACCAAGGGCCUUCAAAGCCCUAAGUGAAGGUGAAAAUCCUUCAGUCUUUG